RNAcentral lists this ribosomal RNA (253 nucleotides) under uncultured bacterium. RNAcentral describes it as "partial 16S ribosomal RNA". It matches the Rfam family "Bacterial small subunit ribosomal RNA", at positions 524 to 776 of the family's 1533-position model. The record is from RNAcentral.
UACGUAGGGACCGAGCGUUGUCCGGAAUCAUUGGGCGUAAAGAGCGUGUAGGCGGCCCUUUAAGUCCUGCGUGAAAUCCCCCGGCUCAACCGGGGAAUAGCGUCGGAUACUGGCGAGCUCGAGGUCGAUAGGGGUAAGUGGAACUCCAGGUGGAGCGGUGAAAUGCGUAGAUAUCUGGAGGAACACCGGUGGCGAAGGCGGAUCUCUGGGCCGAUACUGACGCUGAGGAGCGAAAGCGUGGGGAGCGAACAGG